RNAcentral lists this ribosomal RNA (256 nucleotides) under uncultured Planctomycetota bacterium. Its description in RNAcentral is "uncultured planctomycete partial 16S ribosomal RNA". It matches the Rfam family "Bacterial small subunit ribosomal RNA", at positions 565 to 819 of the family's 1533-position model. Lineage: Bacteria; Pseudomonadati; Planctomycetota. The record is from RNAcentral.
GAGCAUGUAGGCGGCUAUGUAAGUCGGUUGUGAAAGCCUUCCGCUUAACGGAAGAAUGGCGGUCGAAACUGCAUGGCUUGAGUGCGGGAGGGGAGAGUGGAACUUCUGGUGGAGCGGUGAAAUGCGUAGAUAUCAGAAGGAACGUCGGCGGCGAAAGCGACUCUCUAGGCCGUAACUGACGCUGAGUGUGCGAAAGCUAGGGGAGCAAACGGGAUUAGAUACCCCGGUAGUCCUAGCCGUAAACGAUGGGCACUAA